GACUGUAGGUUCAACUCGGAAUGUGGCUUCACCUUCACUACAACAAAAACGGUCUAUAACAACACUUUUAAAUAUCGGUACAUGUCAAAAAAGUGCUGCUGGCUAAAUUACCUACAUUUUUAAAAAGUGUUACUAUAUGUAGGGUCACUAAAUAUAUAGUAACAGUUAAAGAGUGUCGGUAUAGCCAAAAAACGUGCUCCUAAUUUACUAACACUUAUUUAAACACUUAGCAACCAUCGGAACUCGACCUCGUUGGCUGCGGUGGCGGAGAAUGAGGAGAGUGAAGGGCUCUUCGUCUAGGAUUUUAGUGGAUUGAGUAAGGGAAGAAGUGGAGAUGUUAAUCGAUUUUUCUUUUUUUUUUCUGUUUGUAAUCGGGUCGAAUGACUGGAUAGGGUGGGUUGAGUACAGUAACCUUUUAUUUUUGGUUGGAUUGGGCUUUCUAUUUAGGCAUUAGUAAAUUUUUUUUUAAGUUUUGGCAUAAAUAAGACACUUACACAAAAGUGUCCCAAACAUGUGUCGCUAUAAUCUAAUUCUGUUGUAGUUUGAUCCAAUAAUUAGACUAGCUAAUAGAGAAAAAUAAGCUUUUAAAUAAAAAAAAGUUGUAGAGUUACAAUCUAUUUUGGAUUCUAAACCUAGCACUGCAAAUUUAUUUAGCUUUACCCACAGUAUUAUUCAAUAAAAUAUUGUUAUAUUAUUAAAAUGGAAUAAAGAAGCAUCAAAUUUGAACUGGGUUUAUAAUCUUUGUUCUACUUUUUGCUAUAUUAAAGUUUAAGAGUUUAAUUUUCUUUUCCUUUUCUAAAUGUUUUAUUAUAAACUAACCAUUAGACCCUAUAUCUAUGGUCGAAUUAGAAGUUUCGAAUUAAAGUUUCUUUCUCUUGAGACUCGAUCUGUAUCAAUCUUCCACUGUAAUAGAAAAUUUGAAGUUUUCAUUUUGUAAAAUAUGCCUUUUGGGAUCACUAGAGUUGAAAGUCGAUGUAGAGGUAGGGCUAAAUAGGCUUUACAUAUAGUGUUUGUUUGGUCUAACUUCUAUUUUUGUUUUGAACUACAAUCACUUCACGAAUAGCCUUCGGCAAAUAAAAAAUUUUGCGCUUAACUGUAGUAAAAAGUAUAUAAAUGAGAUUUUUCACAUUAAAAAAUAAUAUUUUAUGUCAAAAGAGAAAAGUUUAUUCUGCCACGAUUAUUUCACACAAAACUAACAACAUUCAAUUACAGAACUCUACAUUAUACACAAGUACAUGAAUUACAUUACUAUAAUUAGAAAUUUUACCAUCUUAUAGCACACAAUAGGAUUGAUUGAAAUCUUGUUUGAAUAUCGAAAUAAGUUAUCAAUAUGAGAAUUUUCUUUUAUGAUUGAAAGCUACAAGUUUGAAUUUGCUUUUGAAAGAUUUUUUUAGCAUUUACAAUUUGAUAGGAUAGUAUAUUUCACCUUCGUUGUAAUUUAACUUAUCUUAAAAAAUAACUUGAAGAAACAAAAUAUUGUAUACCUUUGAAAUCACAUUUCUCAUCGACCAAAUAUUACAACCUUCUUCUAUAAACUAAAAGAAUAUACCGAAUAAGAUAUUCAUGUAUUCAAAUAGGACUUUAUGCCUUGUUUGGACGCAUAGACAUCUUAUUUUUGUAUAUCCCUUCUAUUUACUAAACAUGUAUAUAGCAAUUGCUAGGCAAGAGUGCGAUAAAAUAUCUUGAAUGCAUACGAUACUCGAUCCUCCAAUUAUUUUUCACAAUAAAUUAACAUAAUUUGUCACGUAUGUAUGUGAAAUAUAUUGUCUUACCAAACCAUAAAUGCUGCUAACUUUCGAGGAGUAAACAUAAAAACUCCUAUCGUUCAAUCACACAAAAAUAAAAUAAAAUUUAUACAGAAUAAAUUAUUAUUAAAUAUUUUACAUCCCGUCAUUCAAUCAGCGCUUCAAAAUAAUCUUAUGCAGAUAAUAUAUAUAUAUAUAUAUAGAGAGAGAGAGAGAGAGAGAGAGAGAGAGAGAGAGAGAGAGAAAGUCGUUGGGGUACUAUCGAUAGCACCAAGCACUUGGUGUUACUGAAUUUUUUACCAUUAGAUUUAUCCCUUUGAUCAUUUUUAAUCGUUAGAUCAUGCUUUUUAGCCAACCACCUACUCAAUCCUAACAAACCACUAUUAAUCUAAACGAGGACAACUAUCAUCCUAACCAUAUACUUUUUCAUCUAAGAGCCGAAAACCUAAUAGCACUAAUAACUUGGUGCUAUUAAUAGUAUUUCAGCCAAAUUCUAUAUAUAUGUGGACCAAGCACCGGAUGCUAAUAAGUUUUUCACCGUUGUAUCUACCUAUUUGAUUAUUUCCACUCGUUGGAUUAUACUAUUCAACAAACCAUCCAUUCAACCCUAGAAAAUUAAUAUCAUUCUAAUUGUACAUCAUUUCAUCUAAGAACUAAAAAUUUAAUAGUAUCAAUAAUUUGAUAUUAUUAGAAGUAUUUCAGUCUAAUUAUGUAUAUACGUAUAUACACACCUGUGACACAUGAUAAUAAUAAAAGAUGAUUAGAAGGUCGAGAGGGUGUAUUAUGAAUGAUGAUGGAGGGUGACAGUGACUGCCAGCGAAUGGGGGGAAAUAAUUAGGGGAAGAAUGACGGGGAAGACUAAUGUAUGUGUUUCUCGGCCGUUGACUUGUCAUCGGAGGGUCGUAGGUCUCCCACGUGGCAGACAAGGAGCUGUGGCUAGUCCCGUAAAAUCCGGUGCUUUUUUCUCUGCCUUCUCCCUCACUUUAAUGUCUCAUUCUACUGUUCAUUUGGGCUGUGCUUUUUUUAAUUUUUUCCUUUUCCUUUUUUAAUAAUAAAAAUUUAAUAUUGAUAUAUAGAUUCUGUUGUUAACUACUCGUGUUUUUGGAUGUAUAAUAUAGAUAUAUUUAAUUGGUUGAUAGAUGUUUUAUAUCUAGAACUGCUUAAUGUGUUUUAUCAACGAGAUAAAAAUAUUUUUAUAGAUUCGCUAAUUUUUGUUAUCAUUUAUCGAUUUAACUUUGCCUCAUGUUUAAUUAUUCGUCGUGUAUAUAUAUAUAUAUAUAUUCACAUGAUUGUAGGGUAGCAAAUUAUCUAAUGAACUCUGGUUAAUAAGGAUUCAUUUAUUUAUUUCUGUCGUCGGAAGUGUUAUCUAAAUAGUAUUCUUUAAAAAAAAGAUAAAAAUAUAUCGAACUUACCUAAACGAUGGACCAUUUUGAAUUGGUUGUCUAUCCUUUCAAAAUUUUGAUUUUAUUACCCAACAUUUCACUUUUUUUGAUUUUAGUCGGUGAACGAUAUUUUAACUUUAAACUUUAAGUCAAUUAUUUAUUUUAAUAAAUUUAUAAUUGCGAUAAUUGAAUAAAGCAUACUAACUAAAGCUAUAAAGAUAAACAAUGUAUUCAAAUUUAGAAGUCAAAGUGCUGCUAACUGAUUCAGAUCUAACAAAUUAAACGUUUUGAACAGUUCAAAAUAGUCUAUAGUUUGGGUAGGUACACUACAUUGUUUACCUUAAAAAGAGUAUUGUAUAAAAAAAAUUUGAAUUCUGUAGCAGAAUCAUUAUAAACCAAAUUGUAGUUUCUAUAUUCCCUGUAACACUCCCAAUAGUCCCACAUCGGAUGGGAUACUGAUUUCGAUCAGUUUAUAUGAGACCUACACGCUAGUAAUAGUAACUGGGCUUAAGCAUUUUUGGCCGGCGGUUUGGCUCAACGAGUUAUUGUUGCUAGCGGGUCAGGUUGUUGUAAUUGGUAUCAGAUACAGGUUACCAGCCGAAAGUGUGAGAACUAGGCGCUAUGCGGGACAAAGUGCUACACCAACGGGUUUGGUGGGAGCCACCUCUUGAACCCGUAGGAGCCACCUCUAGAAUCUGCCUGGUAAUAGUCCUGGUUUGCCUGUCUGUGAUCUGGUUUGGACCUGACGAUGAUGUCAGAGUCUAACAUGGGGAGUUUGUAACACCCUGGUUUAAAACAAUCUAUUAAAGGUUAAUAACCGCUAAUCGAAGCCGAAAUAAAAGAAAGAACAAAAAGGCUUAUUUGGCGGAACAACUCAUCUAACCAUUAGAACAUCAUUUUCAUGCAGUACUACAAUUUUUGAACAUGAAAUACUAAGAUUACCGAACUGACAACUAAUUAAACUUCGAGGACUAAAAAAAAAGGGUGAAUAAAUGGAUUGCACAACUAAUCCUCAGAACAAUUAAUUCCAGAUGUUAAAUUUCUGCGCUUUAAUUCUCAAACUUUUCGAAUCAGACCCCACUUUCAGGUUUUGCUUACAAGUUUCGUUCAAUAGAGAAAACGUGACGCUAAUGUAAUAAUGAUAUAGUAAUGACAUAACAUUCAUAUACAUCAUCACUACCACCUUAGUUGAUCAGUACCAUUCUACUACAGUAGCUAACUAUAAUGUGGUUGAUUUGGUGCACUGGUCCAGGCAAUAUGUUUUAUUUUUUUUUCCCCUCCUAAGACAACAACUUUUCAUCAAAAAGCCAACCAGUACUGGCUCUUUAGUCUCAGUAAGAGGAUGAGAUGAUUUUACUAAAAAUAGAUUAGGUUUACAAAUUGCAAUCUACUAUCUAGGAGGCGAGAUACAGUCAGUACGAAUCUAAAGUAUACUCAGAAAGUAGUGAUGUAUUAAUGCUGCAAUCGAUGAGGCGACAAUUACCAAUGAUAUCACAUUACUAUCAUAUCAAUGAGGUAUCAGUAUCUGGUUAACUAAAUUGAACUGUAAAUUAUUGUAGGUAUUUGAAAAAAUUUUAAGUCAUAAAUUAUAAUAAAUUGAAGUUUGUUUUCACUCUUGAGUUUUUUAAUGUUAUAAAUUAACAUAUAAGUUUAAUAUUAGACCUCUUAUAAUUCAAUCUAUGCACUUUAAUUACAUUUCUAUGGUUUAAAAAGUUACACUUGAAUGUCUUUAUUCUCAUUUCUACUUAAACUAUAAAGGGCCUAUCAUCACUAAUUAUCUUGGACAUGUCACAUGGGUCAUUAAAAUAUAAUUCGUGCUCAUUUGCAAGGACAUAAAAAUAUUCUAUGACCUCGGAAAGAAAAGGAAAGAAGGAUUAGAGCAUCACUUCCAAUUUAAAUGUAACAUUACAAAUUAAUCACAUAACGACAAAAUAUGCAUGAGCCAAACCAUCAUGGCCAAAAUUGAAACGUAAAAUACACGAAUUUUACGUUUUGCUGACAUGACAAAUUUCUAUUAGUCCCUUUUUAAUUAGUUAUCAUGUAUAAUUAUCACUUUAAUGAUCAUAAAAUACAUUAAUUAACUAUCUCCUAACUUAUACUAGCAUUUAGUUUAAUCCUACAUAUUAGCAUGCAUGCAUGCUAGAGGUGUUUGGGUUUUUUUUAAAAAAAAAAAAAUUAAACUGACGAAAAAAUAAAGUUUCACCUAGAAAUUAUAUUUUUAAAAGUAUAUUUUUUUACCGACCGUCCCUAGAGUAAGUGGCAAAAGGUGUGGUGGUUGAUACCCGAGACCCAAAUUCGAAUCUCAGUUGAUUCACAUUUCAAACUAAGUUUAUUUAUAAAUAAAAUAAAUAAAGAGGAUAGCGUGCUACCUAUCUCUCAAAAAAAAUCCUUUGUAAACUGUUGCAGAAUGCAUGUGCAUGGAGCACAAAAUACAAAACUAUCAUAGAAAAAAAAAAUAGUUUGAAAAGACAUAUAUUCGAGCUAAUUAAAACUAGGGAAAGCAAUGGUGAGUGAAUGAUGUGGGUGACUCCCAACAAACAUGUUCCCCCUUACCCCAUUCCUCUUCUCUCCUCGAGCCCUGUGUGGCCUCCCCAGGUAGAGUUGACUCUUCUCUCUCUCCUUCUCCAUCCGCUCCUAGAAUAAGAGUCUAUAAUGCACCAGUUUUGUUACGGACUUAGUAAUUUUGCUGACAAAUAUUCUUUCCGGAAGCUUUAGCUGCAUCCAUCUUAUAAGUCUAGUUCAUCUCUUUUAAUGAAUGAAGCAGGUAGCUCGCUACCUUUCUCUCAAAAAAAAUUUUGCUGACAAAUAUUCAUACAGUUCUCGCCUUCUUAUUCGAAGAUGUUAAGUCUGUCUCAAUCUUGCUAGUUUGGACUUAGUCGAUCUAAAAGACUAAGUGCAACAAAAAAAAAAAAAAAAGAGAGAGAGAGAAAGAAUAGAAAUUCUAUAAAAAAAUUACAUAUUCUGUUACUCAGAAAUAGAAAUUACAAAUAUACUCUUCCUCUUACUUACUUUGGCCUCAAAGAUUCUCCCUACUUAUAGCCCUUUACUUACAAGAAAAGCUGUCCACAUUAAUGCAAGUAAACCUAGGGAUUGCUCUUGAUAUUUAGAUUUUCACAGAAUUAUUUCUUUUCUUUUUUUUUUUUAAGAAAAAGGUAGCAUGUGACCCGUUUUAUUUAUUUUUUUAGAAAUAAAUUUAGUUAAAAAUGCGAAUCAACUAGUAUUCGAAUUGAGAGUUCGGGUACUAACCAUCAAGCCUUUUGCCACUUGCGCUAGGAACAAUCGGUCACAUAACCGUUUCUUGAGGCCCUAAUUUGUGCAGUUACAAAAUGCUUCAAAUCCCACAAAAGCAUCUUGUACAUUGUCUCUUCGGUUGCCCUUUCUCAAUUAGCAAAGUUAGGCCAGAGACUUGGGACAGAUAGAAAUUUCUCUUAAGUCGCUGAUAAGUUGCAUUGCAUUAUCUAUAUCCAGCCAAUCAUAUCUUACAAAAAUAUUUUUUUUAAAAAUCAUAAUGGCAUGGAUGAACUCUAGGAGAGUAAUUGAUUAGUUAGAAAUACCAAAUCAUCUAUGUGACUCCUAUAUUUUAGGUUUUUUUUUUCUUUACACAUCUUAUAUGUUCUUAGCUUUGCAUAUAUAUUUUAUAUAUUUUUUUUAUUAAAACCAUACUAUUGAAAUGUUAAUUGCACCUGGUCCCCAACCUUUACAUGAUUUUUUUUAAUGGUUCCAUCUUUAAUCUCUUCUAUUUUAUGCGUGCCUAUCGCGUCAAGCUGGUCAAUUUGACCAUCCUUAAAAUCACCCUCCAUAAUACAGCCAAUCAACCAUAUCUCGACCUCACAUUUGACGAUGCCUAUCGUAUCUUUUGAAGAAUUCGACGCCUUGACGUCGAGUCAGGCAUGCCACCAUGCAAUUUUUUUCAGAAAGUUGAAAAAGUCGGUGUUGAGAUUGGCAUAAAGAAACUAGAUUAGCAUAAUCGUGAUCUAAGAUCAUACGGGUCAAAAUUAACAACAAUGUGCAUGGCUAGAACCUAACAGCAGUAAAUUAAAUAUAAAUGUCAAAGAUCUAAUUGUAAAAAACAAAGUUAAGAACAAAUGGCACUACAACAGAAUUAGGUUAUAGUGACACAUGUUUGGGACACUUUUGAGUAAGUGUCCCAUUUAUGCUAAAACUUAAAAAAAUAUCUGCUAAUGCCUAAAUAUAAAGCCCAAUCCAACCAAAAUAAAAGAUUACUCUACUCAACCCACCACACCCAGUCCAUUUAGCCCGAUUACAAACAAAAAAGAAAAAAAAAAAAGAAAAAUCAAUUGCCAUCUUUUCUUCUCUCUUCACUCAAUCCAUUGAAAUUCUAGACGAAGAGCCUUUUCUAUCGUCCUCCUCCGCCACCACAGUCAACGAGAUAAAGUUUCGGCGGUUGCUAAAUGCUUAAAUAAGUGUUCGUAAAUUAGCAGCACUCUUUUAGGUUAUAGCGACACUCUUUAACUGUCACUAUAUACCUAGCGACCCCACAUAUUGCAACACUUUUUAAAAGUGUUGGUAAUUUUACCUAACAGCACUUUUUUGACAUAUACCUACAUUUAAAAGUGUCGCUAUAGACCGUUUUUGUUGUAGUGUGGUGCAAUUAACCCAUAAAAUGUAGUUCCAUUAAUUAAUUAUGUAUUACUGUAACACGGAGAAAGAGAGAGAGAGAGAGAUUAUUAGGGGAUUAGUGCGACGCGGAGAGGACACACACCCCGAAACUAACAAACUCAGCCCACACGUAAUAAUUAUAAUCCAUGUGAUCAUGUGUUAGUGUCGUAUUAACUUGAUUAUUACAGGGACGUGUGCGCUAAUUAAUUAUAUUUGUAAACGGCUUUUAUCCUUGAGCAUUUAUAUUUUUGUUCUUUGUUACAAAUAAAUAUUAAUUAAUUAAUUGCAUGGGAAUUGGGAUUAACGCAACACGUGAUACGUACUCAUCUUAAUAAAAGCGUCAAAAAAGAGUCAAAUACGUACAGAGCUAGUAUCCGGAACCCGUACGUUCCCUACUAUCCUCUCUCUCUCUCUACUAUCCUCUCUCUCUCUCUCUCUCUCUCUAGAUCUCUCAGUUUACUUUUUACGUAGCUUGGUUACAGCAUUCAACAUUGAUCUUAAUUAGAGAAUCGUUACAUAUAUAGUUCACUAACUACAAUGAGAUGUGUGACACAUUAAUUAAUAAUAUUAGUACAGAGUUCGACUAUUAUAUUAUCGAUAGUACCAAGCAUUUAAUGCUAUCGAGUUUUUCGCCGUUAAAUCUAUUCAUUUAACUAUUUUCACCUGUUAAAUUAUAUUAUUCAAUCAACCACCUACUCAAUCCCAGAGGGUUAUUAUUAUUCUAACGGCACGUUCAUUUUUCCAAGGCCGAAAACCUAAUAGCACUAAGCGCUUAUAGUAGCAUAUAUAUAUAUAUAUAUAUAUAUAUAUAUAGAGCUAGUCUCCUAUACUAUCUAUAGUAUCGGGGCUUCAGUAUUAUAGUGCCGUUUUCGAUCUUCGGGUAUUCAAAUUAACGGUCCACACCGUUAAAACUGAUCUAGAUUAUUUAAAGUUUUUAGAAAUAAAAUUUUAUAUUUUUUCGACAUAGUUUAAUUUAUGAUCAAACCAUUUCAAAAUUGUCAAUUUUCAAUGACUACUAUGACGAGUUUGGAGUUUAACGGUGUAGAAGAAUCUAAAUUUAUUCAAAUUUUGAUAGAAAAUACUUUAAACUAUUUAGAUUAAGGUUAACAUUCAUGAUCUUGAAUUUAAAAGUCUUAUGUUCAAAUUUUAAAGAUUAUUCAAUUUCUACCGUCCAUUUUGAUAUAAUUUAUUUACUAAAUAAACAAUGUCGAAAAAAGCUAAAAUUUUAUUCCUAAGAACUUCAUAUACCCUAUAUCAUAUUUAAUGGUGUGGAUCGUUAAUUUGAACACCCUAAGAUCGAAAACAAGACUAUAGUACCGGAGCUCCGGUACUAUAGAUAGUAUUGUAGCCUAAUUCUAUAUAUAUAUAUAUAUUGUCUAUUUUCAAAUUUGUUAAAAAUCUACCGAACUUAACUAAACUAUAGACCAAUUUUAGUCUGCUACCAAAACUUUUAAAAUCUUAAUUUUGUUUGAUUUGGGUCAGUUAACGAUACUUUAGUUUUAAAAUUUGAAUGAGUCGUUUAUCUUUAUAUAUUUAGUUAGUAUAUACUUUAUAAAUUUAAAUUUUAAAGUAAAAUAUCGUUGACCGGCUCAAACCAAAUAAAUUAAAAAAUUAGAUAAUAAAAUCUAAAUUUUAUAAGUCUGGAUAACCAACUCAAAAUCAUUCAUAAUUUAAGUAAGUUUUCUCCUCACUUGUAGUCUCAUUAAUUCAAUUAUUUUUUCUCAUUUGUUUCAACUCCACUUUCUAGGCUCAUUCUAAUGAAACACUCAAACCAAGUUUAUUUAUAUCAUCUACUUAAGAAAUUAGUAAUUUAGAAGCUAAUUUAUCUGUCACGUCAUCUUCAUUGAUAAUUUGACAUUUGAUUUGAGUGCUAAAAUUAAAUGUUCAAUGUCGCCAUGUUAUCUGAAAGAGAUUGUGCAGUGAUGUACAUAAAUAGUUGUCACAUUAUCUGUUAGAGAUGAUACGCUUGACCAUUAAAUAAUCUACCACAUUGUUCAUCUAUUAAUAAAAUUAGAUAAAUUCAAUUGAAUCCAAAUUAAAGAGUUAUAAAUUCAGCAACUUAUUCGGAAUAAACAAGUUUAGCGACCAUGGUAUAAUUUUACCUUUGUUGAACGUUACACACAUAUCAUUACAAAACUAGUUUAAAACCUUAUAACACCUAUAUAUAUAUAUAUAGGGUUAGAAUGAUAUUAGUUUUUUAGGGUUGAGUGGUUCCCAUAAAAUUGAGUGAUUCUUAUUGGGUUAUAAUAUUUAGGCUUAGGCUUAGUUUGGCAUUGAGGCUUAUUUAACGCUAUUAGAUAGAAUGGAGUUGAGAAAAAAACAUAUAGGGAUAUGAUUCUGCGUUCUCCAGUGGGACCGCAAAAAAUAUAUUGUAACCGACUCAUCGCGAUAUGCGGAACGCAAUAUUAGGUACGAAAACAAACAUAGUAUUUUUUCAAUGUACUUUUUAACCGCACGUAACGCAAUCUUCCCGCAAUCCCAAACAAAGCCUUAGUUUGGUAUUGAGAUCUAUUUAACGCUAUUAGAUAGAUUGGAGUUGAGAAAAAGUAUAUAUAGAGAUAUACUUCUGCGUUCUCUAUAUAUAUAUAUAUGAGUCCGGCUAUGGUGCUUGUAAAAGUACCAAGCAUUUGGUGCUUGUAAAUUUUUUACCGUUAGAUCUAUGCCUUGAUCAUUUUUACCCGUUAGAUUAUACUAUUCAACCAACCACCCACUCAACCCUAGAGGGCCCACAUCAUUCUAACCGCACAUCCUUUAAUCCAAGGGCCGAAAACUUACAAGCACCAAUGACUUGGUACCUUUAAAAGUAUAGAAGUUCAAUUCUAUAUAUAUAUAUAUUUUACUUCUCCUUCUAUACCACUUCUCCUUCUAUACCACUUGAUUGUGAUCGGCAUCGUUGAAUAUGAUCUAUACCACUUUCCAGGGGAUCACCCAUCCCAGGACUACUCCCGUCCUAGCACGCUUAACUCUCUUAACCUCUUGGGCCUUGCUACCACCCAAAAUGUUUAAGCCGGGUUAAGNNNNNNNNNNNNNNNUCCACCACCAUCCCCCUUAUCAUAAACUAGAUUCCCGAUAAUCAUUAGUUCUUCAUCUAGGUUACCGAUUUUUGGAUUAUCGUGGUAUCCCCACUUUGAACAUUUUCAUACCACCAUCAUCUCAACCUCAUAUCUCUCCAUCCAAGGGCUAAAAACACACAAGUAUCACCCUCAUGAUACUUUUACAAGUAUUCUAGCCCUACUCUAUAUAUAUAUGUAUAUAUAUAUAUAUAAAAUUACUAUUACAUUUCCUAGUAAGGUCUUAUAGUCACUCAAUAUCGUGACACUAUUCAGGGUUGACGAAUCCCAAUUAAAAUAUGGUCGGGUACAUUAAUUUGUCCUCCUACUUAGGGAUCUCAGCGGAUACGGAUGGAUAUCCAAAAUGUUUUCGGAACUCAAAACUCAACGACAUGAAUUUAUCUGAAAUAAAUGGAUAUGAUUUCAGAUAUAUGAGUAUGAAAGACGGUAAUCCGAUAUAUUUGAAUUCAGAAAUGAGUAUAAAACUCAAGUUCCUACAUUUACAUGAUCAAAUUACUUAAAUUUGUCCGAAUGAGUGGACAUUACAUAGAUUUUUCUAUUAAUAAAAUUGGGAAAGUAUUUGACUUAUUUAUUUAUUUGGUUUUUUUUUCUUCUUAAAUUUUUUUUUUUCCCCCUUAUAUAUAUAUNUAUAAGUACAAAAGACUCUAUACUCAUAUGAAUAAAGUAGCCCCAGCCUAUAUAUAUAUAUAUAUAUAUAUAUAUAUAUAUAUAUAUAUAUAUAUAUAUAUAUAUAUAUAUGACACUACCUGUUGUUGUGGGGCUCAUGACUAGAAUUAAUUUUUGAGUUCUCUUGAGAGUUGUGAGUUGCGAAACCACGCGGACGCGGCUGGUAGCAGCAGCUGGUCCCAAAAGCGCUGCUGCAUGCAAAAUGAUGCCGCACCGCGAACGGAAAGCAACGCUGCUGCACCUGCUGCUUCUGCUGCUGACCCUCUAGCUAGCUGUUAAAUUUGUCUCCAUCUCUCUCUCUCUCUCUCUCGCUCUAGAUCUCUCUCUCCAUUAUUUAUCCUAGAGAGAAGGAUAUUAAUUAAACUGUUACUAGAUCGAUCUUUUGAAUAAUAUGAUAAGUAGGACCUGUCAAUGAGUCGAACACCAGCAAGCUGGGUUUAGCUCGUGUUCGACUCAUUUAAUAAAUGAGCCGAACAUAGAUUGACUCGUUAAAAUAUUAAGCUGAAAAAUACAGCUUGUGUUUAGUUUGUUUGUUUGACGAGCCGAAUAUGAGCUGGCUUCUGAACAGCAAGUUAGAUUGUCAGCCCUACUAUUAGGUAGAAAGUUAGAAAAAAAUUUUGAAAAUUAGAAUUUUAAUCUAAUAGUUGAAAGUGACAAAAUAAAUGUCGCUUUACAUUUUUAUUGGCCUAGAAUCCAAAUAAUAAAUAUUAUAAUAUAAAUAUAUCUUUGAGCUAUAUCGAGCUGAACUGAAAACGAGUGAGCUGACCCUAGCUCGUGUUCGGCUUGUUAAGAUUUGGAAUUGAAAAAUUCAGCUCGUGGUUGGUUUCAAGUGGAAUACGAGCUGACUCGCAAACAACGACUUAGAUUGUCAGCACUACAUAUGAGCAGAGAGGAUGGUGUUAGACAAGUUCUCGAUUGUUUCGUAAACUGGUACGAAUCUAAUAAACCAAUCUGAUCCGACUAGGUUUAGUCUUGCCUCAUUCGGUUUCAAAAUCAGGUCUCAUGUAUCAACCCGAAUAAGUUUAUGGUCAGUUUCUGAUAUGACCUGAAUCCGAUUCAAGUCAGUAUUGGUACAUGCUUUGCAAAAGGUGGGAAUUGCGAAUCGGGUUGGAUCGAAUUGGGCUGACGGAUGCGGUCGGGUAAGGGGGAUCCGUCAACAGGUUUCAUUGGGCUGUAUUGGCGGAUUAACGGGUUGGAUUGGGUAGGAUUUGAAGGCGGAGUUGAAUGUCGUAAAAGGCUUAAUUAGGUUAACCCAACUCAAAACCUUAAGCUGAUAUAGAUAAAAAAAAUCUCUCAUAUUAUAUACAUAUACAAAACUAAUAUUCUUUAAUAGAAUGGCAUUCACAUGCGACACGCUUAAAAUUUGGAAUAUUCCUAUAUAUAUAAGAUAUAAUAGAGCUAAAUCUCUUUAUCCCGUUAUAUUAUUUGGGUGGUUGUUUUAGACCUAACAGUUUAAGAGUGUUAAGCAUGUUAGGAAUAGAGUAGUUGUAGGAUGGAUGACCCCCCUCGAGAAGUAAGUCGUCGCAAUUGGUAUCAAGACUAAUCACCAACUGAUCGAAGUGUUCCCAUAGCUUUCCAACUGACAAUUAUUGUGGGUGGAGCACGGCUCUCUAUAAAGUCAGUUAACUCUAGUGAGAUAAGUCUUACAUCACCUAGUUCUUGUGAGUACUUGAGCUUAACGAAAACAUUAAGAUUUAAAGAUAGAAAGUUAGUUCUAUAUAUAAAAUAUUAUAGGGCUGAAUCUCUUAAUCCGACUAUAGUAUUUGAAUAGUAACUAGGCCCGAAAGAUUAAAAGAAUUAAGCGUGUUAGGACUAAAAUAAUUAUAAAAUAGAUAAUCUUCUUUCCUCCCUUGAAAAGUGAGGCAUCACAACACGAUUACAAGAAGUGAGAUGGAAUAGACAAAGAGAGGAUGAAUGUGCGAUGCGCAGAUGUACAAAUGCACCAGAUAGAUGUAAUAAUUUGUCAUGCAUAUAUAGUGGUUGAUAUGUAUAGUGAUCAAAGGGACAAAGAUUAUUAGAGCUACAGCUCGGGCACCGUAUCAUCUCGUGUCCCAUGUGCCCCCCCUUCCUAGCUAUUUGAUUCUCUUCGCCACACCCUUUUCUUCUUUAAUUUGUCUCCCUUUAACAAGAAUAUAUUAACAUAUAUAAGUGUACUAAAAACAAAUAAUAAAUAUUCUCAUGAUCUAAACACAAACGUAUGAACUACAGUAUUGUUCGUACCUUUUUCGUAUUGCUCCCCGGGCUCCAUGCACCCUAUCUCAAAGCUACUGGUGCACUGCUCAAUGCAGCAUCUCUCUCUCUCUCUCUCUCUCUCUCUCUCUCUCAUACAUUGUAUCUAUAUAUUGAUAUAUCUAUAUAUGUAUCUCUAGCGAUGAGUGUUUUGUGACUUUGAUGCAUGGCUUAACCAAAUUGCAAGUGCCAUGCAUAUAACAUAAUAUGGAAGUUAUAGCUAAAGCAGUACCAUAGUAAGAGAAUGGAGAGUGAGAGUUGUAUAUUUUAGAUGAACAAUUAUAAGCUGUUUAUUCAAAAGGUUUUCGACACAAAAAAAAUUCUGAAGGUAUAAUUUGGAGGGUCCAUGUACUCCGAAAAUAUGAAAAUACAAUGCUAACAUACAGUAAGAUCUAAAUGCAUAUAUAUAGUAGAGGUUCAAAGAUGUGACACAUCUAAUGAAACUCAUCCAACAUAAAAGGUUAAGCAUGUUUACUCUGUUCUAUUAGUGUGUAUAUUGUACUUUUUAUUCUUUCAUUAAUCCGUUGUGGGACUGUGCGCGCAUCUAUGAAUUCCUAAUAACAUAAAUCUAGUUAACAUACUCGCAAUGCAGCAUCGACUGCGGUAUCAAGAGCAAAACAGAUGUUGAUGUCCACUAUGCAUGUACUAUUGAUCAUUAGAUUUGCGAGUAUAUAGUGAAUAAUUCAGCACCACUGGUACCAUUUCUUAGGAUUAAGGGUCAAUCAUGAUUAAUCUUGUGCGUUCAGAAACUGAUAAGGUUAACGAAUUUGAAGAAUCUCCUGCUACCAUGCAUCAAUCCAGGAAGUUAAGAGAAGAAUCCUCGAUCAUAAUGCUGAGCUCCAAGAUCCAAAUGAUUGAUUCCAUGAACACUUGCAAAUUAAUAAUAAUUAGGAUCAUCAUAUACCCCAUGCAUGAACCCCACUAUCUUAACCUAGCUGCUGCUGCUACUACUACUAGGAUAAUUUCCUCAGGUGAACCUCAAUAGCACUCCACCAUUUUAUCCUCUCAACAUCAUUGCUAAUUUAGUGUGUGCAUGUGUGUGUGUGUGUGUGUGUGUAAGAGAGAGAGAGAGAGAGAGAGAGAGAGAGAGUAUAGGAUACCUAGCUAUAACAUUAUAUACAUAUAAUAUAAGAUGGAUAGGAACAAAUGGCUAGAGAUGGCACCAUGCACCAUGAGAAAUGAUCAUAUCCACCUUUCACUUUCACCUUUUGCUUUGUGCAAUCCUAUGGUGGCCAUAUCUUUGUAUUGGUUGGUUGAAAAUUGGGGUUUUUAUUUUUCUUAAAGUGAAUUAAUGCCCUAAAUUAUUAUUGUAUAUUUUAUCUGUCCAUGAAUAAAAUCUAGGUAUCCUCUUUUUGUUUGGUUGGUGAGAUCUAUUGGUUCCACUUAGUCUUUUUUAUGCCCCUACAACCCUCCAUUUACUAAUUGGGUGAACAGCAUAAAUAGGAGAGAUCUCAAGGUCCAAUUAGAUUUAGGAAUCUUUCUUAAGCCCAGUUUGGUAAUAUAGUGACUAAGCAUUUGUGAUAAAAAGCCCAAACAAUUCAAAAGUGCUUUCACUCUUUCCUUCUUUUUAGCAAUCUUUGCGCACAAAAAAAAAGAAAAAAAAAAAAGAAGCAGAUAUAAUCUCUUAAAAUAAUGCCUACUUGUGCCUAAACCUCUCAAAACACGUUUUCAAAUAUAUAAUUUCACUAUUUUCCGCGAAAUGGUGGGUCGUCAGGACGAAGCGCAACAACACUAUUUUCCACGAAAUGCCUCCCAACGUAACCCGGGCUAUCGAUCACGUCAGGUCUUUGAUGAAGGACUCGACAGAAGUUACGUGAUUCUAGACUACCCCUAUCCCCCCCUCCGUCGUUUGUUUGUUUACCUUUUGAUGUUUAAUUUUGGUUUCUUUGGUUCUGUUUCUUUAGUUUUUUCCGACUUUUGUAGGAGGCCCCAUCUGUCUUCAUUAUAUAUGCUUAGUUCAUUCCACUUAAUGAAUGAACCAGAUAGCUUGCUACCUUUUUCUCAAAAAAAAAAAAAUCACAGAUAUAAUGGUUUCUAAUAUAUUUUUUAUUUAUUUUGAAAUAAUAUGUAACUACUAUCAUCACCUUUGUUAGUUAAUUCGCGAAUUAUUCACGAACUAUUGAAAAUUCGAAUUAAACGAUCCGUUUACGAAUCUUUCCCAAUGAAAGAGAAUUAUUCGCGAAUUUUUAGGCCAGCCGAAUAAUUCGCGAAUUAUUCCCGAAUUAUUGAAAAUCUAAAUAUAAAACUUAUAAUUUUUAUGUUUAAAUAUUGAUUAUUUUAUAUUUCAUAUCUUAUAUUUUAUAUUUUAUACCGAAUCUGUUUUUUAAGCCGAAUUUUUCAAUGAAUUUAAAACUUAGAAAAUGAAUUUUAUGUAUAUUAUAUCCGUACCGAAUUUUUGCCAAAUCCGAAUUAACUAACUAUGAUCCUCACUAGCACUAGCAACUUAAAACCCAAUCACCAGCCCCAAAUGAGAGCGCGUUAUUAGUACUUAACGCGCUAAUUAUAUAUACGGCCACCCAAUUAUCUCACAAUAAUCCAUGCGAUAAACUAGUAAGGAACUUACCUGAGCUGUAGCUCAUUUGGAUUUGACUAUCUAAUCUUUCAAAAUUUUAAUUUUGUUACCCAAUCUUUGAAUUUAUUUGAUUUGAAUUACUCAACGACAAUUCGACUCCAAGAUUUAAACUGAUUACUUACUUUAAUGAAUUUACAAUUAUAAAAAAUGUAUAAAAUAUACCAAAUCUGUAAAGAGAAACAAUGCAUUCAAAUUUUGAAGUCAUAAUGCCGUUGCCUGACACAAAUCAAAUAAAUUAAAAUAUUAAACAGUAAAAUCAAAAUUUUGAAAAAUUAGAUAGGCAAAUCCAAAUAAUCUGUAAUUUAGAUAAGUUUCAUAUAUUUUUAACCAUUCCAUAUGGUACUACUACUGGGGUAUUGCAGUAUAUAUGCAAAUGCAUGUACUUGAACAAGCCCAAAAUCAAGAAUAUUCUCAUCCCAGGACUUUGUAAUCUCGUAAGAGAGUUUCAAUUAAAUGUUCAAAUAACAGGGACCACAGUGUUGUAUUUUAUUUCAUAUAGUUCAUAAAAGGCUAAAUUAUAGUUCUAGUCCUCAAACUAUGGGGGGGGGGGGGGGUGGAACUUCAGCUCUCAGACUUUAAUUCGUUGCAAUUUCUGACAUGAACUUUCUAAAAUGUUACAAUCAAAUCUCAUAAUCUUUUUUUUUGACUCAAUAUUAAUAAAUUACUAAUGUUGAAUUGAUGUGCCAUUUUAAUUAUCAUUGCAUUAUCAAUUGCGAUAUUAUUACACCACUUCUACAUUAGUAUUUCAUCAAUAUUAAUCAAAAACUUUGGAUUAUGAAACUUUAUUGCAACGAUUCAAAAAGUUCGAGCUAAAAAAUUGAAACGAAUUAAAGUUCCAAGACUAAAGUGUCACACACUUUAUAGUUUGAGUACCAAAAGUGUAAUUCACCCUUCAUAAAAUAAGGAAACAAAGAGAUUGGAAGAAACAGUUCAUUCUUAUGAAAGUUAUUUCAAAACAUUCUAAAAUAGAAAGAUCAUGCACUGCUCUCUUUUGCACACCCAUUUUUAUAUUCAGAGAGAAACUUGAACAUGAAGUAUUUGGAGCAGAACAGUUUUUAUAUCAUUUGAGAAGUUAAAAACAAAGUAAAAGACGAGUAAUAUAAGCGAUAAAGCAUUGAACAUUCACAACUAACAAGCUCAAUGCCUAAACACCAAAAUGCUAGUGCAUUAGGUGUAUGUAUGUAACUACAGCACGACAUUUAUUAUCAGAUAAUAUAUGGCUUCAAAUAAACAUAAGUAAUCUUUCUUAUCAACUCGUUCAAUGUUAAUACAAAUUUCUAUUAUCAUGUAACACUAAACUUUGUUAUUAUGCUAAUUAUAAAAACAUAUAACUUAAGCAAUCCCUCGGCGAUCAAAAACCCACAGCUGCCUCUUCAACCAUUUCUGCAGCAGCAAAAAAUUUAAGCUACUGUUAUCUUCUUUCUCUCUGUAAGAAAUUUCCAAUUUCAUUAUAAUAAUCUGGGUCUAUCCAAGUUCAGUUACUUCAACAUUUUUUUGAGCAGCUAUUCAUGUUCAUGGUAAUAUAAAUGGCGACUCUAUUUGCAAAAAUCAAAAGAGUGAUGCAUGAAAAGAUACGAGUUGACAAUAUGCCCAAAAGUUCUCGAUGUUGUAGUUCUCAAAUCAAUACAAUACUGCAUGAUAAGGAAAAGUUCAUGUUGAGACCCAUGCACGUGCGAAAAAUGAAAAUGUACUCGAACCAAAAUAAAGAUCCUUUUAUGUGCCUAGUUUUUGCUUUUUAAGAAGAUACACAUAGAAAAGGUCAUGGACACUUGAUUGAUAUAUAAUGUAUGUGUCAUCUACAAUAUGAAGUGGUCACUAAGCCUUCAAUCAGUCUGCAUAGGCUAAAGGUCUCGUAUUUAGCAGGUUAUAAGAUAAUCAGUUCAAUUUUGAGUACGGCAGAAUCGAAUUAUAGGAUUCAACCCCGAAGCAAGUUUCUACCAAGCUAUAGUUUCUCAUUGUAUGAAUUAGAGCUUUGCUAAACUAAGAAAAAUGAACGGAACUGGCAACAGAAAUAUAAUAUUUGACUUUUCUUUUGUAAUUUAACUUCAUCUGAAUAUCCAUCAAAACACUACAUGAUUAACCCCGCUCAUAAAUGCUGAAUGAAAGCCGCCGAGUAAACAAUAUAGCUACUAACCUCUUCUUUUUGAAACAUUCGCGCAAUAGAAACAUGAUUACAUCUUCUUACUACCGUUGGUUAAUGCCAACCAAAACCCUAAAAGCCCGAACGUGCUCCAGUCUUUUACUUUGAGCCUCUGUUUUAGCUUCUGAUGCCCUUAAGUUCCUGUAAAGAUUCUUGUGGAAUUUCAUGUACUCCUUUUUAUACUUCCACUUAUCAAAGAAGUUAUUAUACUUCGACAUGUAGCUGAUAAUCUCCAUCACCCUCUCAAAGUAGCCACCUUUAAGAAAAUUUAAAAGCAAGCAAUCAAGCAAGUCUCUAUCUGCCGCUAAAUCUUUAUCUUCCAUCUCUCUCUUUAUUUCUCCCCAUAAUAUCGUAAUCGCAUGGUACGAUUCUAUGGAAGAAGAACCAUCAAGUAGAUAUUUAAAAGUCUGCAUGGUGGGCCGGAUAUUUCUUUCUCAUGCUUCUGAAUGUCCUCAUAGCAUCUUCAACCAUUUUUGCUUGGCAAAAGAAAAGAAUGGAAUUGUUAAGCUCGUAAAUUAGUUGACUCCCAACACGUUCUUCUUGGAUUUCCUUUUCCAGAAACUCAGCCAGAUGUGACUUAGUCUCAAGAGAAGCGGAAGUCACAUCGACAUCGGUUCCAAGAAGACCUGCUUUUUCUAUCUGUUUCGAAAGCUUUUUAGAUUCUUCCAACUUGUUAUCUUCGCAAUAUGCUUGCAAAAGUAAGGCAUAUGUAUUCGCUUCAAUAGGAACUCCAGCUGAUUCCAAAUCAUCUAGAACAUCAUGGGCAACAUCAGACCAACCCACCUGAUUGCAGGCGCCCAUCACAUCAAAACAUAAACCAUUUACUUUGAAAUCAACUUCUUUAUGCAAUGUAGUCAUAAAAUGACAGAGUUCACUGAUCAUUCUCUCUUUGACGAAGCUGUUGAUAAGCUUUGCAAAAGCCUUUUCAUUUGGAACAAGCUUACCAUCUAAAAAAAGGACUAGCUCUGGGCUGCCUUGUACAUCAAUGAGAAAAUCAUUGUCCAGCUUUGUGGGCUCAACAAUUAGUUUGAAUCCUGACUUUAGGUUACUUGAGCCAAUUUGCACUAAGCAAUGCUUUUGGAACUCAUUAUUGAAAAAUUUAUUAGACUUUGGUCGCCGAUAGAGAUCAAGCAUGAGUUCUGUAGCAGCAUCAAUAUCACCAUAUAUAAAGUGUAGGCUCAACAAACUAUCAUAAAACUGUCAGUGUCGGUAUUGGCGACUCAGUGACGGAGAAGAUAUGCAAUCGAUAUAUUCCUUCAAUCUCUUCAACUCACCACGUUGUCCUGUCAUCUGAUAAAUCCUAGCAAUGAGUAUUAUGGAACUUGCAUCAGCUACUAUUCCUACCAAUGAGAUCAAUCCUAUUAUUUCUUGUGCCUUCAAGGUGCAUCUAUACCUUACACAAGAGUCUAGGACAAGAUUAAACACGUUUACACUGGGCUUUAUCGCGCCUACUUUCUUGGGUUUCUUCCUUUCUGUGACUUCGUGCGAAAAGAGCUCACAAGUCUCAAUCAGGAUAUCAAUUGCAAGAUAGGAUCCAACUUCCGUCUUAACCAGAUGCAAGAACAAAGUGCUCAAUAUAUCAAGUGAUGGAAGCUUUGCAUUCUCUAAGAUUAUCCUCAGAAUCGUGGACGCAGGAAAGGGUUAGAGCUAGCUUGGUUAAUGAGCUGCAGUCAAGAUAAUUAGGGUUCUCUUUAUAAACCAUGAGUGUGAUAUCAUAUGCUUUCCGAAGCCAUUGACGACUAGAUGAAUAAGACAACAAUAAGACCAUUCUAUUCACCAACUGUAGUUUAGGAAGACCGUAUAACCUUUUAAAACUGCUAAAAGCUUCCCAUGCUUCAUCGACAUUGUCAUCUUUCAAAGCAACUUCAAGCUUCUUCGAUAAGGUUUCAGAUGAUGACGAUAAGCAUCCCCAUUGGAUGGUCUCAUGUAGACUGGUAGAAAAAUGUUGAACACUAGGACACUGGAGUAUCCAGUUAUAUACAGCGGGAUCAUUAAGCACAUAAAGACCACGGGAUGAUGAAAUUCUUGCAGUAUUGACCUGAAGUGACAGAGCAAACUUGACUACAUUAAUCAGGUUAAUCGACUCACAUGUUAUAACAAGGAUUCAUUAAAGUGAUUCAUCUUACACUCCGAACAUUUUUAGCUACAUAAGCUGUCCAAGAGAGUCUGUACCUGCAUCGGUUAAAUCCAUGAAAGCCCCUCAUUGCACAUCAAAAUUUUCUCGCCAAGAUGAAGAUAAUGAAAGACAAGAUGUAAGCGCACUAUUUCCCGUGUCAAGAGAACUAGUCAUCUUACUGGUCACAGUAUGUUUUUGGGAAGCUUCUAGAAUGUUCAAUCACCAUAUGGAGACAAUAUCAUCAAGAAUUCUAUAAGCUGCCAAUGUUUUGAAAUAUUCUUUCAUUCCAGUAGUUGUAUUGAUUGACCUGUGACUUUCAGCAGAGUGAAGCUGGACUAGUGUUUCUCGUUUAACCAGUAGCAAUUCCAAAGGACAAGGAAUAAUUUGAGAACAACCUCAAAAGUUUAUGGUAUCGAAUGUCCAAAUUAAGUUCUAGGACCAAAGUGAAACUAGGCCAAGAAUUUGGGAACAAGUGGUGCACAUAUAACUACUUGAAAGUUGAAAAGUAAGGGUAAAAACAUAUAGAGACCCCCCUCAAAUAUAAGCAUUCUUAUAGGUCCCUGUACCUUUUUCCUUUUUUUCCCCCUAAUUGACACCCCGUUAAUUUCUAAUUUUACUGAUUUGAGUUAUUCUAGUUUGUUGACUUAGGCCUUGUUUCGAUGUCGGAAUAAGUUAUUCGAUGAUUCAAUAGGUUUUUUUUUGUGCGAUUGGAAGGUAGAAAUUUCAUUUUUGCUCGUUGAAAAGUCUUAGCAUCCAAGAUUUGGUGGAAUAGCAUAUUUCACCUACAAGGUGAUUUAUCCUCUAUUAAAAAAAUGACUUGAAAAUCUUCCAAUCAUAAUAAAAAAUUUUAUUCCGAAUAAGAUAUCACUUGGAUAACUUAUUCCGACAUCCAAUAAAUUUGAGAUAAUCCACAACUUAUUUCACUAAAUCACUCAAUUCCAAACAAAUAAAAAGUUAAAAGGGGUGUCAAACCAAAAAGUUAAGAGGUCUUAUUUCAAAAGUGCCUAUAGUUGAGAGAGUCUCCAUACAUUUUUACUGGAAACAAAAAAAAAAAAAAUUGAUAUGUAGUGAAAGAAUGUGAAACAAUUUCAAUAUGUAGGUUAAAGAAAUAACCGUUUUUCUCUAAAAACUUAAGCUAAUAGAGAACCGUGCUUUUAAUAUUAAUUAAUAUUCAACAUUUCCCCUCACUCCCCCUCACGUCUGGACUGGAGACGAGUCCAGAGAGCUUGGGAGGACUCGAACUCUGGACCUUCUACUAUGAUAUCAUAUUAAAGAAUAUAAAAUAAUUGUUUUUCUCUAAAAACUUAAGCUACCAAAGAAGGUGCUUUUUAUUUUUAUAUUCAACAGAUAGAUAUAAUCUAAAAAGAAUAAAAUUCCAAAAAAUUGAGAAAUGUUAAUGAAACAGAAGACAAAUCUCAAUUCCCAGCUAAUAACUGAAGAGAUAAUAACAUAUCAACAUUCAAAUCAAGAAAAUUGAGUAAUUCUCAUCAGUUUCAACCAUUUUCUCUCCAAGAAUCUAAGGCUCUACACAUUCCUAGAACAUAAUCACAAAACCCUAAUCUUUAAGUAGCAUCCAAAUUAGCAAAAAAAAGGGGUUGAGAAAACCCUACCAGAGGAGAGAGAAGGGCCAUGAACCAUCUCCAAGAAACCAAUUCUCAGUGAUUGAUGCUUAAAUAAAAAACAAAAAAUAAAUAAAGGGAAAAAGAGAAUGUAAAAAAAAAAAAAAAAAUCGAGAGAAGAGAAAGAGAGACUCGUCCGCUCUUUUCUCUUCAAGAAGAUGCGGUUCAACGCCGAAGCGGCCGCACUCGUCGAACCGGGCCGGUUCAAAACGUUCGCUGGUUGGUCUUACGGGUCGGUUCGGUUUGUUUGGUUCAGUUUGAAAAAGUAAACUUUUACAUAGCUUUUUUGAAAUAUGGACCAUUUUGAAAAUUUAAAAUUUUUUAUUUUGCAACUCAAUCUUUCAAAUUAUUUGAUUUGAAUUAGUCAACGAUAUUUUGAUUUAACAAUUUUGAACUAAUUACUUCGAUAAAUUUAUAGUUGCGAAUUACAUAAGUAUACUAAUUACUUAUGUAAAGAUGAACAAUAUAUUCAAAUUUUAAAAUUAAAAUACCAUUGAGUGACUCACAUAAGACAAAUUGAAAGAUUAAGAGAAAUUUAAUAACCGAUUCAAAAUGAACCAAAAUUUUAGAUAAUGAAUAAUCUUUGCAGUGCUCAUCCUGAUUUCUUUUUAUUUCAAUUUAUUUUCUUUAAAAAUACUUAUUUUAUUAUAAAAUAUUUUUCUAUGUUUGAUAACACUAAUGCUGGCUUUUAGGGCUUAUACAUGACAACUUUCUAGCACUUUUUUAAGUCCAUUUAAGUUCCUCCAAACACAUUUUUAAGUACUAAAAUUCAAGCGAAAUCAGAAAUAAGUAUUCACGCAAGAGAUUUUCUUUAUCAAGGGCGAGAAUUCGACUGUUUUUAAUGCCAAGUCAUCUUACCACGUCAUCACUUUUAAUAUUUUCAUCAAUCAUUAACAAAAUCUCAAAAUUAUUGAACCUAUUCCACACAAAACUAAAGUGCCAAAAUUGACAUUUUUUAAAUUCUUUUAUGCAUGACAUGGAGUAAAGCACAGGAGGGUUUUAUAAUUAAGCCUAUUUUAAAAUUAUAAAUAGGGCUAAUUCAGAAUCCAAGGCCCAAAAAUACUCCAUGGAGGAUGGACCAGAUUUGAACUAUUUUGGGCCUUAUUAUUGGGCCAACAUUAUGGAAUUUUUUUUCAAAAUUUUUAUUUGAUUUUAUUUUUGCCACUGUUGAUUUGUACGCUCCAUAUAUAGAGUUGAGCUCGAAUGCUAUCGGUGGCAAAUGAGUUCUGUUGCCACCAAUUUGUUUUCGAUGAUGGAGCGCUAGCCUUCAAAUCGACGAUCGGUACCGUUGAACAUGAUCUAUACCACUUGAAGUAACUAGAAACCAAAUUUCAAAUCUUUUCGACAUCAUUGAACUAAUGAUCAAAGGGUUUCAAAAUUUAUAAUUUUAAUGGUAGAUAUGAGGCAUUUUCUUAUUUAACGGUGUAAAGCUAUACAAAUCAAAUGAAUUUUGGUUAGAAAAUUCUUUAAACUAUUUAGAACAAGAUCUAUACUCUCAAUCUUAAUUAUAAAAUUCCUAUCAUCACUUUUUAGAGGAUAUUUAUUUUCAACCGUUCAUUUUUACGCCCACUUGAUGGAGAAGAGAACAAUAUCGAAAAAGUAUGAAAUUUAGUUUCUAGUUACUUCAAGUGGUAUAGAUCAUAUUCAACAGUGCCGAUCAUCAAUUUGGAGGCUCCAUCAUCGAAAAUAAAUGGGUGACAACGGAACCCGUUUGCUACCGAUAGUAUUUCAGCUCAACUCUCCAUAUAUAAUAACCUAAAGAUGUACGGAUGCAUCCCGCGGUGAUAGAACAUUCUGAAAUGGCCCUCGAGUUUUGAUUAUUUCGACCGACACCUCCUCACCUUUCAACUGAUUUCAUCAAUUUUAACACCUUUAGCAACUUUUACAGCUGACGAAAUUUUAAUUCCGUUAAUAAGUAAUUUGUGACAAGUAAUGGGAUCGCUAGAAGAAUGUUUGAAGUUAAUGGUCUAUGCCAAAUUAUGCUAUAGUUGCAGGGGCCUCCUUACAUUUUUACCUUUUUUUUUUAUGUUCUCUUUAACUUUGCAUAUCAUAUUUGCCUAAUAAACACUAAAAACUAAUACCUCAACUGUUAUUAAAGAUAAGAGAAUAAAUAAAGUAUAUAUAUCAUUUAGCAAUAUUCCUCCAGUGAUAGGUCUCAUCUUCUCAGUCAUGUUUCAAAGAACAUAAGUAUAAGGCAUCAAUACUAAGUGAUAGCAUAUUCAUCUUCGUAUAAUGCAACAAGCAAUUUAUCUGUAAUUGUGGAUGAGAAUUUUCAUCUUCUAUGUAUAUUUUCUCCAUCACUCCUUUUGGAAUGUUUUUGACACAAAACGUGUUUGGCCUAGCUGAUAAAUGCAACAAGCAAUUUAACGUAUCUGCUUCUGUAAUUGUGGAUGAGAAUUUUCGUCUUCUAUGUAUAUUUUCUCCAUCACUCCUUUUGGGAUGUUUUUGACACAAAACGUGUUUGGCCUAGCUGAAGUUUACGCUUUUUCAUAGCAUGUUCUCGAACUUCAGGCCUUAUUUGAUGCAGUUGCGCUUUUCCUUUUCGCCAAAGAAUGGUAUAGGAUGCUUACAGUAUAUUUGUUUACGAGGUUUAUUUGAUAACACAAAUAUAAAAGUUAAGUAGCUUGCUUUUCUUGUUCUCAUCAAAUGAAGUUUUUACUUUAAAAUGGAAAAAUGCAAUGUGGUGCUUUCUAUGAAUCAUAUUCCUUUCAGCUAGGGUUGGAGCAAUUGGAAAAAAUAGGAGAGAGACACUUUUUCCUUCUAAGUAAUGUGCCUAUAUAUUUGUAAACUUGGAGGUGUCCACUCAUGGACAUUUCACAUCAUUGUCCACCCAAAAAGCACCUUGUUAGUGAGCUCUUCUACAUUAAUUAACCAAACUAAUUAAUGAAGUGUCAAUUCAAAUCUUAGAUUAAACAUAAAUCAAACUCCACAACACUCUUAGUUUUCAUAUUCAUACAGGCUAGUUGUUUGGUCCUUCAAAAAAAUUGAAAAUUUUUUUUUAAAAAAAGUUCUUUACAAAAAUUUUUGUUUCAGUUUUCUCUAAUUCGUUUGAUCUUAAAAAAAGUACGUUUAUUUUUUUGGAACUGAACAGAUGAAAAAAUAGAAAAUGAGUUUUCCUUGAAAUUUUUUUAAAAAAACUGACUUCUCUAAGAAACUGAACAGUCCCUAAAUUACAUUUGAAUAAAUUAAACUUUUGAUCCUCAAACUAUAAGGGCCAUGAGGAUUUGGUCCUGAAACUUAAUUUGUAGUAAUUUCCGUCUCGAACCAAUACCGUAUAGUACAUUAUUUUUGAUAAAGAAAGAUAUUUUAUGUCGCUCAAAAUAUUAUUUUUAUUUGCUAUGUGUUAGUAAAUAUAUAAUUUUUUUUUUCGACCUUGUGCAUGAAUAAUCAAUUAACUUUACAUUAUAAUUGUCAACACCUAAGUAACCUACAAAGAGAGACAUUUUGCAGUAAUUCGAUAAAGUACUAUACGAAUUCAUGGUAUUAAAACUCUUUCGACGGCUUUUGAUAUCGAGCACUUAUUUCAAUGAUUUACUAUCAAAUUUUAGCUUUCCAUCGCAGCAACAGAAGUUUUAAAUUUAUCUUAUUUAUCAAAUGCGCGCUUUUCUAAAGACGCUGAAAGAACAUACAAAGGAUUAGACAUACAAGCACUUCAGAUUUGUUAGACCUUCAAUGCGAUAAAAUACUGUUAAGUGGAAGUAUCAAUUUAAGCAAUGUUUUCUCCAAAUAUUCUUUUUCACUAAACUAAAAUCAAAUUUAUUUUUCUAUUGUUGAUCUACAAAAUUUGUCUCCAUCAUUUGUAAGAAAAUUUAAAAUUACUUAUCUACCAAAAGCUCUAUGCAAAUGACUUUGACUAACUUUCCCUUUUUCUUUUUCUUUUUUUUUCUUCUCUAUUUUACAGUUUAGAUUUCUCAUUAGAUAAUCAGUAACCUAUUUUGCUAAUACUCUAACAAUGACAAUUCUGGUAAACUUUUUCGAUCAUUUUACUUACCUAAAUUACAUUUAUGCAAUCAUAAUUACUGUAUUUUUAACUACUAUGAGCAUAUCCAGUUACACUGUAUUUCUAAUUAUAUCGAACCGUCACUACAACAAAAUUGGUAUAUAGCAAUACUUUUAAAUGUCGGUAUAAGUCAAAAAAAGUGUUGCUGGCUAAAUUACCGACACUUUUCAAAAGUGUUGCUAUAUGUGGGGUCGCUAGGUGUAUAGUGACACUUUUUAAGAGUGUCGGUAUAACUUAAAAAAAAUGCUGCUAAUUUAUCAAUACUUAUUUAAGCAUUUAGCAACUGCCGAAACCCUACCUCGUCGGCUGCGGGGUGAAGGAGGAGGAGAGCGAGGGGCUCUUCGUCUAGGAUUUCAAUAGAUUGAGUGAGGGGAGAAGGAAAGAUGGUGAUCUUUUUUUUUUUUUUCUUUUUCUGUUUGUAAUCGGAACGAACGAGCUGGGUGGGGUGGGUUGAGUAGAGUAACAUUUUAUUUUUGGUUGAAUUGAGCUUUAUAUUUAGACCUUACUAUAAUUUUUUAAAAAUUUUGAUAUAAAUAGGACACUUAUGAUAAAGUAUUCUAGAAAUAUAUCGCUAUAAUCUAAUUCUGUUGUAGUGCGUAUGACUCAUUAGUUUAACGGAGUUAAUUUUUGAUCUGAAAAUGACUUAUUAGGGACAAACCGACACAGCACAAAGUAGCUUGCAUUUUAUGAUAGUUUCAUUUCAUAAGCGUACGCAAAAGGUGUGGCGUGGUGGGGGCCCCACUUUAGUCCUCUCUCCCAUUAAUGGGCCACUAAUCUUGAAGUUUGUCGUUCGCUUGUUUUGUCGCGGCGCCCCCCCACACCCCCCCUGAUUCGAUCCCCCGCCUUCGUCGUUUCCCUUGGACGGGAAUCGAUUUUGGCGCGUUCCGUCGCGUUGGCUUGUGUGGGCCACCCCCGACCCCACCCCAUCCAAUUAGCUUCUUAAACCCAAAUAAUAAUAAUGAUAAUAAUAAUAAUAAUAAUUAUUAUUAUUAUAUAAAGCUUACAGUAAAAAUAUCAAAUGUUUAAAUAUAUCUCUAUAAAAUUUAAGUUAUAAUAUUUUUCCUUCUAAAAAUUCUUCUAUCAAUAAAAUUUAGAUAACUAUGAAUUAAAAAAAAGGGACUAAAUUACAGAAAACCACCUUGUAAUAAUCCGCUUUUUCACUUUUCUCCCUUGACAUUUAAAAACCUACACUUUGCCCCCUUGUAAAAUAAAAAAUGUGCACUUCACCUCCUACUGUUAGGGUUCCGUUAUAAAAUAUUUUUUUAUGCCGAAAAUAUCCCUCCGCUCUCUUUCCUGUUGCUUAGCCUCCCUUCGGCUCGCCACCUCGCCGCCGCCUCGUCGUCCUCCACUGCCUCGCCCUUGCCCAUAUCUCUUUCGCCGUCCUUCGCCGCCUCACCUUCGCCCUCGUUGCCCUUGCCUACUCUCCAUCAACACCCACCUCGGUUUCCUCCAUACUGUCGCCGAAAUCGAGGGACGGCGAGGAUGCAGGAGGAGAAGGGGAGAAGGUGGAGAAGGAAAUUGAGAAAAAUCGUGGCCGAUUGAGGUGGGAAUCGCGGCCGAUCGAAGGGGCGGCUGAGAAAGAUGGGGAAGAAGACGAAAAUGGCGAGGGGCAAAAUGGUUAUUUUACACACCGUAACUCCCUUGUGAACAUUUUUAAUUUUACAAGGGGGCAAAGUGUAGGUUUUUAAAUGUCAGGAGAGGAAAGUGAAAAAGCGGGUUAUUACAAGAAAAUUUUCUGUAAUUUAGCCAAAAAAAUAAACCUAAAAUUAUCUUUUUGUCCCUAAUAUAUAUAUAUAUAUAUAUAUAUAUAUAUAUAUAUAUAGAGAGAGAGAGAGAGAGAGAGAGAGAGAGAGAGAGAGAGAGAGAGAGAGAGAGAGAGAGAGAGAGAGAGUGGAUGAGAGGAUGAGAAGGAUGAGAAGGAUGAGAGCUUUUGAUCGUAAGGUAAAUGAUGUCGAAAAAUUAUGAAAUUUGAUUUCUAGAUGUUUCAAAUGCUCUAGAUAAUGUUUAACGGUGUGGAACGUCGAUUCGGAAGUUCUAUCAUCGAAAACAACUUAUGAGUACGAGGGCAAUCGUACUCAUAAUAAUAUAGUAGCCCUACUAAUAUUAGGUCUCAUCAUCCUUCUCAUCCUCUCAUGUUUAUUCAUGGUGAUUGACGAGACCUACAACGGCGGCGAUGUCGAAGACGAGGCCCUCGGUCGCGGCAAAAAUGAGAUACGUUGCACGUCCCUAGCGCAAGUGGUAAAGGGCUUAGUGGUUGAUACUCGAGGUCCCAAGUUCGAAUCCUAAUUGAUUCACGUUUCUAGUUAAUUUUUUUUUUAAGAGAUAGGUAGCAUGCUACCCGCUUCGUUUAUUUCAUUUAGAAAUAAACUUAGCUAGAAAUGUAAAUCAAGUAAGAUUCGAACUUGGGACCUCGGGUACCAACUAUCAAGCCAUUUGCCACUUGCGCUAAAAACAGGCGGUGUUAAGUUUAUUAUUAAAUGAAAUAAAAUGAAGCGGAUAAUAUGCUAUUUAUCUCUCAAAAAAAAUAUAACGAGAAACAAAGUAUGCCGAAAAUAAAUUCUACAUCUUCGUCUUAUAACUGUGACAUUUAAUAGUUUUGAUGUAAAAAAUAAAGUGGGAGUAAGGAAACAACCAAGAAAAGUGACAAAAGGCAAGAUGGUGUGGAUAAGGCCAAUUGUAGAUAAGAGGGGUGGAUACAUAAAUGUAUGUGCAAGAAUGCAACCCCUAGCCUUGGCAUUUUUGUUGUCUUUAUGCUCACAUAGUAAAUACACUUCUUUUUUUUUAGAGAAAAAAAGUACGCUGUCUGAUUUAUUUAUUUUUAGAAAUAAAUUUAAUUAAAAAUUAAAAAUAACUGAUUUUCGAACUUGAAAUUUUAGAUAUCAAUCAUCAAAUUUUUUAUCAAUUGUGCUAGAGAUGGCCGGUAGAUACUCGUAUUCUUGUUCUAGAAUUGCGAAUGCUACGACUUAAAAAGUUGCGAAUAUCAUGAUAUUUAGCUGUUUUGAUUACUAGGCUUAUAAUAUCAAAAAAAUCGUAAAACUUAUUUUCUAAGUAUUUCAAAUAUUCUAUAUCAAAUUUAAUAUAGUCGAUCGUCAAUUCAAAAUUCUUAUCAUAAAAAAUUAACAACGGGAAGCACGAAUUCCUCUAUGCUUCUAAAAGCACUCCAACUCAACCCCCUCUAUGCUUUUAGAAGUAUGGUGGCCUCCGUAUUAUCGAGUGGUUUUUUAUGUUAGGACUUCUGAAUCAACAAUCAGGUCUAUUAGAUUUGAUAUAAAGUAUUUAAAGUAUCUAAUAGAAGGAGCCUAAAAUCAACAAUCAGCAAUUUUAAUAAAAGCUAUAAAUAAUAUUGAGCCAUUUCGAUCACUAGAUAAAUGAUAUCGAAAAAUCACGAAAUUUAUUUUUUAAAUAUUUUUAAUACUUUAGAUCAAGUUUAAUGGAGUCGAUUGUCGAUUCAAAAGUCCAAACAUCAAAAAUGACUUAAUAGCACGCAAAUCUCUGUACUUUUAAAACCAUACAAGCCGGACUACAUAUAUAUAUAUAUAUAUAUAUAUAUAGAGAGAGAGAGAGAGAGAGAGAGAGAGAGAGAGAGAUCACAUAAUAUACUGUUGAUAGUAAAUAAAUAGUAUUUACUAUCAUCUCUGUUACCUUUAGAUUAAUACUAUUCCACUUAGCCCCACUAAAUCUAAGGCAUAUAAUAGAUUAAAAGCGGGUAGUAAACAUUAUUCUUUUACUAUCAAUAGUAUUCCAGCCGCACAAACAUACACGUGAUUUCGGUUGUUUGAACUUUCUAAAAAUUGAAUUUCAUGAUUUUACAAUAUUAUUUACCCAAUGACCAAGUAAUGCCAAAUCUAUUUUAUUAUUAGCCGUUAAAAGUUAUCAAGUUUCGAACCACAAAAAUGCUAAUAAUUUUAAAAAUUAUAAAAUUUGAAAACUAAAAUUGAAGUUUUAAGUACUCUAUCUCAUGUCUAGAUGAAUGUUCCCUUAUCAAACAAAUAAUGCAAAAGUAAAUAAUCCAAUUAACUUCUAAAAAAAUUAUAGUUCAUGGGAUGUUUGAUAUCUUGAAAAAGCAUGAGAAGGUGUUUUUCAGAAAAAAAAAGAAAAAGACUAAAAUAAACAAAAUUUUUUUGUAAAUACCUAUUUUUUUAUUUUUUCUUUCUGAUUUUUAAAAACUUAUAUUUUAUCCUCUUAAAUUUUUAGAAUUAUUUUCAGAGGGUACGACAUUAAUGAAGAGAGUAAAAUGAUCAAAUUAUCUUUAUUUUUUAUAUAAAAAAAUAAAAUUUUAAUAUAUUUAUGUCAUUUUGGAAGAUAUUUUCGAUAUAAAUUAUAAAAAAUGAGCAAAAUAACAAUGAAACUCUGACGGAUAGGGGCUAAAUGCAACAACAACUUGAAAUAUCGAGCGGUUAAAAUAUGAAUUUUUAAAAGUUAGAAAAGAAAAGUAAAAAAAAAAAAGGUAUAUUUAUAAGAAUGUUUUCUAUAAUUUAGCUAAAAAAAAGUGCUUUCCACGAAAACACUUUUUUUUAAAUUUUUUUUUAUUUUUGAAUAAUAAAUUUCAAAAAUAAAAAUACUAUUUUUUUAUAAAAUUUGAAAAAAAAAAAAUUUUAUGGAAUAUUUGGAGUGAAACCAAACCCCUCCUGGCUAGAGAGAGAGUGUACAUGUGUGUGUGCAUGUGAGGACAUGCAAGGAGCUAGAGGACGUAUAUUGUUGUGGGGACGGUGGAUCACCUCCUCGUGCGGCUCACGCAAGGCGACGAGAGAUGCUCCCUGCCAUGUGACGCGGGCGCCACGCACACACCCCCUCUCCCCCCACCUUCCCCGCCAACCACGACAGUUCACAUCCCCUGCGCCCUGCCCACCAAAACGUCGGCCCUGCACCGCACCCCAGUUCGCCAUCAUCUCUCUCUAUACAUAGAGAGAGAUAGACCGACCGUUCUUAGAGCAAGUGAUAAAGAACUUGAUGAUUGAUAUCUGAGGUCCCAAAUUCGAAUCCUAGUUGAUUCACAUUUUCAGCUAAGUUUAUUUCUAAAUGAAAUAAACGAAGCGGGUAGCAUGCUACCUAUCUCAAAAAAAAAUCACAUGAGCUCAUGUACUUUUUUAUACCUGUGAUUUUUUAAUUGUUGGAUUGUUUUAAAUUUUAUACAGUAAAAAUAGAGAAAAUUUAACAGGACAUAUUGUUAAUAAUACCUUACGAAUCUUGAGGCGACUGGAUGACUUCAUGUGCUUUUAAAAGCACAAAAAUUCAACUAUAUACGUAUAUAGAAUCUGGUUGGAAUAUAUUUAAAACUGCCAAAAUAUUGGUGCUAUAGUCUUCUUAAUUAAAUAUUGAAUCAAUCCUAGUGACUCUUGGAUAAUACACAAUGGUGGAUCCAAAAAAUAAUCAUCAUUGUUAAUUUUCUAUUCACUAACCAGAAUGAUAGAUUUAAUUAAGAGCUAAAAAAUUAUAAAUAGUAAAAUCUUGAUAUUUUUAAAAGUAUUCAAGCAUAAUUUUAUAUAUAUAUAUAUGUAUUAAAUUGGCAAUGGAAAAUGUUUUAGAUGUUUCAGUGCUGCGCUUAUUUAUUUUAAUUUCAAGUAUCAUGUGAAGAAUUUUAAUUGAUUUAUAUACAUAUAUUUUAUAUAAAAGCAAAAUUAUAGGAAACCUACAGUAGAAAACAAUAAUUAUGAGUAUGGACGAAGGGUGAUGCCGUAGGAAAAAUUCUAAAAUGCAACGGAUAUAUUAGUGACGUCGCGUAACAAAUCAAUCAAAUAUCUCCUUUUAGGAGUAUAUGUCCCAUCAUGAUUAUAAAAAAAAUAUUUUUAUUGUACUUUUGUUUGAAAAGAAAAAAUGUAAUUGGCUUGUAACUGAUGACGUGAUGUAAGUGUGACAGUGUAGAAUUUCUCGAUGCCGUAGGAGGCCCGUUUUAUGGCAAUUAUUAUUUUAUAUAGAACAAGCAACAUCUAAGCAUAACUUUCUGUGUUACACAUAUAUACAAAAUUAAAUUUUUAACUAAGUUAUAUUUUUUAUUCUCAAAUUGCCUGAUAAUAGUUUGGUCCUCGAAUUGUAUUUUAUUAUAAUUUAUAUCUUGAAAUUUCAAAAUUAUUACAAUCGUGUCUUGCAGUUGAACUUCGUUCGCUAGAUAUGGAUGUAUUAUUAAUAUAAUAGUAAUGUGAUAUUUUAGUCAUGUCAUGUGACCAAUUAUAUUAUUAUCACAUCAAUAAUACAUCAUCAUUUUGGUCAACUCAAAUAGACUAUGGCAUUUGAUUAUAAUAAUUUAAAAUUAAAAAUUAAAAAUUAUAAUAACUGAAAAUUGAGAAUCAAAAAUGUCACGCACGCUUAUCACGAUUUGUGGACCACAAGUGUAAUUUUUCUAAAGCUUUUAGUUAAUUUUAGUAUAAAGUUAUCAUAUUAUUUGUAAUUAAACUCUUUGUUAUUUUAUAUAACUGAUUUGAGAUAAAGCGUUGUAUAAUCCUUUGCGGAUAUAUUUUUCCGGAGCAAUUCUCCUUUUUGCACAUUAAAUGUAAAUCUUACACUUCAUUUACUCAAAGCCUAUUAUAUAUUUUUUUACUAAUUUUAUCAAUUUAUUCUUUAACACAAAAUUAAGUAUAAAAAAUGUUUAUAAAUUUUAGGAUGAGUGUUGAUGGUAGCAUUCUACCUGUGGCGGGAGGCGGACCAAAUCACAUUCGAAAUGGAGAGAGGUCGGAUUGGGCGGAGUUAUAUUCGAAGUAGCGUGAGGCUUGUUGGAUCGAUUCACAAUAGAGAUCUGUGGAAUAACGUGUCUAUACACUUUAAGUGAAUUAAUUUAUGCACUUCUAAUAGCACAUUAAUGAUUAGCGCCAAUAACCCCGCCCCUACCUCGAAAAAAAUCUAAAAUGUACCGGAUAUAUUAGCAACGUAAGUUACGUAAUGUUUUCAACUAAUAAAAUUAUCUCCUUAGGUUGAUACGCUGUAUUAUGGUUAAUAAAAAAAUAUUUUUAUUAUAAUUUUUUAAUAAAAGAAUAAUUUAUUUUUGAUAAUGUGAUGCAAGU
Molecule: long non-coding RNA, 33155 nt
Filed under: Ananas comosus (pineapple)
Lineage: Eukaryota; Viridiplantae; Streptophyta; Magnoliopsida; Poales; Bromeliaceae
Description: long non-coding RNA (ACOM_LNC015545)
Source: RNAcentral